GGGAUACCACUUGGAAACAGGUGCUAAUACCGGAUAACAACAAUAGCUGCAUGGCUAUUGCUUAAAAGGCGGCGAAAGCUGUCGCUAAAGGAUGGACCCGCGGUGCAUUAGCUAGUUGGUAAGGUAAUGGCUUACCAAGGCGACGAUGCAUAGCCGAGUUGAGAGACUGAUCGGCCACAUUGGGACUGAGACACGGCCCAAACUCCUACGGGAGGCAGCAGUAGGGAAUCUUCCACAAUGGGCGAAAGCCUGAUGGAGCAACGCCGCGUGAGUGAAGAAGGUUUUCGGAUCGUAAAGCUCUGUUGUUGGUGAAGAAGGAUAGAGGUAGUAACUGGCCCCUAUUUGACGGUAAUCAACCAGAAAGUCACGGCUAACUACGUGCCAGCAGCCGCGGUAAUACGUAGGUGGCAAGCGUUGUCCGGAUUUAUUGGGCGUAAAGCGAGCGCAGGCGGAAAGAUAAGUCUGAUGUGAAAGCCCCCGGCUUAACCGAGGAAUUGCAUCGGAAACUGUGUUUCUUGAGUGCAGAAGAGGAGAGUGGAACUCCAUGUGUAGCGGUGGAAUGCGUAGAUAUAUGGAAGAACACCAGUGGCGAAGGCGGCUCUCUGGUCUGUAACUGACGCUGAGGCUCGAAAGCAUGGGUAGCGAACAGGAUUAGAUACCCUGGUAGUCCAUGCCGUAAACGAUGAGUGAUAAGUGUUGGGA
Molecule: ribosomal RNA, 702 nt
Filed under: uncultured bacterium
Lineage: Bacteria
Description: bacterial SSU rRNA
Rfam family: Bacterial small subunit ribosomal RNA
Source: RNAcentral